This 320-nucleotide unclassified non-coding RNA is filed under the name uncultured Dothideomycetidae. Its description in RNAcentral is "sequence contains ITS1". The stretch from base 1 to 100 matches the Rfam family "5.8S ribosomal RNA", at positions 50 to 154 of the family's 154-position model. Lineage: Eukaryota; Fungi; Ascomycota; Dothideomycetes. The record is from RNAcentral.
AAACUGCGAUAACUGAUGUGAAUUGCGGAAUUAGUGAAUCAUCGAGUUUUUGAACGCAAAUGGCACCGGUCUUGUGGCUGGUACGUCUGUUUGAGUGUUGGAUCUAACCUUUCUUCACAUGUGAAUGUUUAAUCACAUUCAUCUCUGUGUUGGAGACUUGAAUGUCCAUGUUUAUCGUUGGUCAUUUUAAAAGCAUCCUGAUCUUAUCAUCUCUUAUUUUGUGACACUUUCUAGUGAAUCAUUCUGAGGAUGACAAAGAAUGCUCAAGAUACUUCUUAAACAUCAACCUCAAAUCAGACGAGAUUACCCGCUGAAUUUAA